Molecule: long non-coding RNA, 298 nt
Organism: Chiloscyllium plagiosum (whitespotted bambooshark)
Lineage: Eukaryota; Metazoa; Chordata; Chondrichthyes; Orectolobiformes; Hemiscylliidae
Source: RefSeq, a predicted model, not a curated record
CAGGAACUAUGAGCCAUUUGUAACUCAGCAGCGAAGUUUGGCAGGCAUUUUACUCCUCUACGUCUUGAUAUGCAAGGAAAAGGAGAGUAUUGUAGAAGAGAAGACUGAAAUACGGACUAUUCGACUAGAAAAGAUUGAGGCAGCUGCAUAUUCCUGUGACAUUGAAAUUCGCUGCCCAAAGGCACCACAGAGCAUCAACAAUAUGUGAAUUGUGAAGUUCGAAGUUGCAGCCCACUAGCACCUUAUGGAACACAUGAUGGACUGUAAAUGCAUCUUUGCUGAUGUUGCCCACAUACUG